Molecule: long non-coding RNA, 10189 nt
Organism: Oncorhynchus keta (chum salmon)
Lineage: Eukaryota; Metazoa; Chordata; Actinopteri; Salmoniformes; Salmonidae
Exons: 5
Source: RefSeq, a predicted model, not a curated record
GCGUUGGAGCUGUCAAAUCAGUGAGCAGCUGCUCUUGAUCAUUGUCACAAAGCUACACCCAUCCCACUCGUGUUAGAAGUUCAGAACGAGAAAGUGUAGGCUAUUUAGAAAUAAUGACGCCCAAAUUGAAAGGCAUUCAAUGAAAUUAGGAUUUCUAUCAGCCUAAUUGAGGUGUAUAGGUGGUGAGCCGUAGCAAGCUGCAUGAGUUUUCGAGAUGAUAGAUCUCUGAGGAGCUGUUUUUUUUGCUUGUUUUUUUAAAACAUAUUGUGUAUUUUUAUUUCUUCUGAAAACAUUUACGUUACUUGGCCAUGUCAAUUUUCACAAAAUACUGACUUUCAUGUUCGCUAUCUGGACAGGCAAACGCCGCGAAGAACUAAACUGUAAACCAAUCAAAACGUGUGUACUAUUCAUGGUACGAUCUACAUUCACGUUAUCCGUAACUAAUGUAGAGACAGCUGGUAAUGAAGAGUUCGACAGAGAUCUCCGUCUGACACUGCUAUCAGCUCUCCUUUGCCCUGCUCCCAGAGCAGUGCUAUUCAUCAAGCAUGGACUGAUUCACUCACCUGUGAGGAGAACCAUCCUAUAGCAGUUUGAACUAGACCUGCCGUCACUGUUUAGAUUUUGGGACCACAUGCCUGUUGUCUUUUCUUUGUGGAUUCUAUCUUAAUAUAUAUGCCAUUUAGCAGACGCUUUUAUCCAAAGCGACUUACAGUCAUGUGUGCAUACAUUCUACGUAUGGGUGGUCCCGGGAAUCGAACCCACUACCCUGGCGUUACAAGCGCCAUGCUCUACCAACUGAGCUACAGAAGGACACAGUCUAGUGCAUUUUAGAGUUGAGGAACACCAACUACACAUACAGGUGGUUGUUUGAGCACCUUGAAGACUAAAUUCAAUGUAGAAUCAGUGUAACCGGUGACAAACAGAUUAUUUUACUAUUGUAACAAGCAGUGGUGAGAAUUCUAUUGUCCUCGUCGGGAGCCCAGACUUUUGCCAUAGAUGGUAGUGUUCUCGUCUCUGGACCACACAAGCUUUAGUCAGCUACAUUGGUGAUCAGAGUGGGAUCCUUUUGAUAUGCCUAUGAGGCCUGGGCACACAAAUGCUCCUAGAGAGAAGGUGGAAUACUAAAGUAUGCGUUGAUGACAAGUCUGCAGUCUCCAUCAGAGGCCCAUGCUUUUGGCACAGAUGGUAAAGCUCUCAUUUCUUGACUGCAAUAUUGUAAGAUUGUGCCUUCCACAGCACUUGAUAUACAUUAAUUGGUAGGUUACGCUAUAUUUAUGUAGCCAGGUGGUAAAAGCGCAUGGCUGUAUUCAUUUUUAUCCACUAGCUGGCACCAUCCCUUUAAGAGAUUCAUAAACAAGGUGUGCCGGCGGUUAUGGGAUUGCGCAGUGUGUAAGAGUGAGAACAAGCAAUUACACUGGAGACCUGUUGAAAUCCAUCCUGGAGCCAAAGUUAGAUGGGUAAAUUACACUUUAUCUUCCUCUUGUACCGGAAUAUAUCUUAUUUUGCAUCAUCUGCAGUGUAUAAUAGUUAAUUUUGUAAUAUUUAUGCCAGACGGUCAUGUUAGCCUGUUGAUACUUUCAGAUUGAUAUGAGGAUGUUAGCUUCUUGCUAGCUGAAUACCAGUGCUCUCAGAACCACGUUGUGAAGUUGAUGAUAACAUUAUUUGAAGUUGCAGUAUGGGUGAGAUGAGGACCUACUGUUCUAUGUGGGGUUAGUGCAUCACCUGGACAGUGUGUUUAGGCCUGUCCAGAACCAACCCCUGGUAGACCAACACUAAGGAGACCAAGGCCCAACCAGACACUGCUAGAGAGGGUCUGUGCCCAGUCUCACACUGCUUAUCUGCUGCCCCCACUGGAAGCUGGCCCCUACCCACCACCAUGCACCCACAGCCACACAGAGCCACAUACAGCCACACACAGAGCCUGUUUAAAGAGACAGGCCUCUGGGACACACUGGAAAAGCCUGGACUCCCACGAUAACUAAGGAGAGAGAGAGAGAUGUUCUGUCAUCCAAUGCUGAGCAUCCCUUUGGAAGCUUUACGACAAGCACCAGUCCUCAAAAUGGUUUUACAAUGGAAUCCAUCCUCUUAUAGUUGCACAGUGUUUAUGAUUGUUUACUAUACUGGUAACCUGGGUGACUAUUACAACCAACAAAAGAAAGGAGGAAACGGGUGUAUCCAUGUUCUACUCAGUCCUGAUAUUCUCAGACCAUUGUUUCAUUCAGCGUAGAGAGGAGUGGAAAGGAAGAAGUAUGGAGGAGGGAGGUGGAGUUAAUAAGAGCUGGCGCUCCUCUGUGAGAUGUUUAAUUCAUGGUGAGGCUGGCCAGUAUAACGUGACUGGCCAGGUAAUGGGGAGGGGAGACAGAGCUGCUUUCUGAAAUUGAGUAGAAGUGAGGCUUCAAGGAAUCCUUUGUCUCUUAGAUCAACAAUGGGCACAGCUCUCAAUAUGCAUUCCAUUGUGCUCUUUCUCUCCAGAGAAAUCUAAAAUCAAAAUGUCUCUGUCAUACAUGUGGUGUACACAGUACAAUGAAAUGCUUAUUUCCAGGCUCACCUGUCAACAAUGCAACUACAGCAAUACAACCAAAUCAAAUUGUAUUGGUCACAUACACAUGGUUAGCAGAUGUUAUUGUGAGUUUAGCGAAGUGCUUGUGCUUCUUGUUCCGACAGUGCAGUAAUAUCUUAACAAGUAAUCUAACAAUUCCACAACAACUAGCUAAUACACACAGAUCUAAAGGGGUGGAAUAAGAAUAUGCACACACAAGGGUCAAAGACGUAUAAGGUUUUCAAAGUAGCAAAAAAAAUAAAACAGCAAUUACAAUUCCCUAAAAGGCUUUUAUAUGUUUGUUGGAGUGUCACCUAUGCCCUUCUAUUAGUCAUAUUCAAGAAUAAAGCCAAUCAUUUUUAUUGUGAUUCAUGUGAAUGUACCCUAGUAAAAUGUAAUUCAGUAUAACACUAAGUGUUUUUUAAAAUAUUUAUUAAAUUUGAUGCCCAUUUUUCAUAAUUACAAGGUUAUAUAUCCAUGCUUAGACUGGCAGAAAUAUAACUACCCAGAAAAAAUGACAUUAUUUUAUUUUGAAUACUAAAUAUUUGAUGUGUCAUGGGUACAACUCAAAAUUUGUUGAAUGUUUUUUACAUAAACUUCCUGCCUUACACUGAAAAUGAAAAUAUCUUUCACUUCAUCCUUUGAGAUUUGUUUUUGUCUCUCUGAGUCAACAAAACAAAGUUAUUGUAUAUUUUAAUAUAAAAUACUUGUGUUAUACUGUAUCACAAUAUUUUGAUACCCUGAAUGACACAUCAAAAGGCCCACAAAUAUUGAUUAAAUGUGAUUCCUUCAGCAAUAACAAUAAUUAUCCUAUGAACUAUUAGUAUUUUUCUUUUAGCUAUUUUUUCAAGAUACAAAACUUUGUAAAAAAACAGGAUGCGAUGUUUAAAAUUUGCAGGCUAGCUGAACUUAGAUCGGUUCCAUACUAGAGAGAGAGAGAGAGAGAGAGAAAUUACCCAUACGCCACACAUAAAGAAUAUGGGUUUUACAAUGCAACAAAGUUUAACGGGGCGGCAGCAUAGCCUAGUGGUUAGAGCGUUGGACUAGUAACCGGAAGGUUGUGAGUUCAAACCCCCGAGCUGACAAGGUACAAAUCUGUCGUUCUGCCCCUGAACAGGCAGUUAACCCACUGUUCCCAGGCCGUCGUUGAAAAUAAUAUGUUCUUAACUGACUUGCCUGGUUAAAUAAAGGUUAAAUUUUUUUUUUUUUAACAGGAUGAGGUACAAUUUAAUUCAAGUAGGAAUAAUGUUGUAAAUAAAAUAAAGUUGUUCAGGGGGCUGCUCAAAGGAGUUUCCUUCAGAGUUAAGUUCAUCACCACAUUUCGUUAGAUUUUUUUCACGGCACCUCCUCUGAUUUAAUGUUUUUUUUUAAACAAAAAAUUCAGCAUCAGAUUGUAUGGAUCAGUGGAUGAUCUUUUCUUCUCUGAUAGCUAAAAAAAAUGAAAAUCUAAUAGUUCACAUCCAUUAAAUGUUACUAGUAAUCUAUUAUUAGUAGGCUAUACAAUGAUAACACUUAAUCAAAGUUUCAAAGUUAAAUCAACUCCCUGUCCAUUUCUCUCUCAAACAUGUUUUGUUACUAUUUCAUUGCUAAUGUUAAUAAUAGUCACUUUACUAUAAUUUGAGCCUGUGGCAACACUUUACGUUGCAUUAAGUUGCAUUAUUUCACGAUUAGUAUAUGAUAGUUAAUGUUGUAAUUAUGCAUUGUUACACUGUAACUGGUACAUUUCUAUUCAAUGCAGGUACACAAAUUCAACUUCAAGAUACCUAUAUAAAGUAAUGACCUUGACCUAUAAAGACUAUCCUUACUUUUCAUAUUUAAUAUAGUUUUUUACAAAAUAAUAACAUUAAAAUAAUGUUUUCUGUGUUGUACUGAAGGAUAUGCGUUUUUGUUACUAGAGGGUGAAAAUGUGAAAUCAUCAAAUAUUUCAGAAAUUUACUCACCUCAUCACAUUGAUAGAGGGUCUUCAAUGGGUAUUCUUUGUGAUGUCACACACUGUCACAUGAUUACAUCAUGUGAUAUUAUUUACAAUUACGUUUUACAAUUUGUUAUACUGAAUGACAUUGAUGAAGCUCAAAAGUCCAGACAAAAGUUAUUCAAGUUAAAUAUUUUUUAGAUACAUUAUGUCCCCCAUUGUUCUAUAUAUUGUUGCAAACACUAACACAAUUAUGCCAUGGGUAUUCAUUUAUAUUUUUAGGAUGAAUUUAUACAUUUUAAAAACACUUUUGUCAUUACAAUUUUAACCCGGACAGUUCCACUGAAGGACAUUUUGACACUUUAGAGCUCAAUAACUCCCUUAAUUGAAUAGUUUGCAACACAAAUAUGUCUGGGUCAAAAACAGGUAAGAGUUGAAUAAUUUAUUGUUAUUUUUAUCCAUAUUUAUCUUUUUAUAUUAAAUGAAUGGCCUUUGGACACAAAAUUUACACAUCUCAUAUGGAUGCGUGAAGACCGAGCGGCAUAGGUAAGAUGCAAUAGAUGGUAUAAAAUACAGUAUAUACAUAUGAGAUGAGUAAUGUAAGAUAUGUUAAUAUUAUUAAAGUGGCAUUAUAUUGUUGUACUUUUUGCAGGUAUGAAUGAAAUGUCUUUCUGUGGAUUACUGUCUGUCUGUCUCUGUCUCUGAUGGGCAAAUAGUUAAAGUACAAAAGGUAAAAUAAAUCAACAUAAAAAUAAGUUGUAUUUACAGUGGAGUUUGUUCUUCACUGGUUGCCCUUUUCUUGUGGCAACAGGUCACAAAUAUUUCUGUUUUGAUUGCACACUGUGGUAUUUCACCAAAUAGAUAUGGGAGUUUAUCAAAAUUGGACUUUGUUUUUGAAUUAUUUGUGGGUCUGUGUAAUCUGAGGGAAAUCUGUGUCUCUAAUAUGGUCAUACAUUUGGCAGGAGGUUAGGAAGUGCAGCACAGUAUCCACCUCAUUUUGUGGGCAGUGUGCACAUAGCCCGUCUUCUCUUGAGAGCCAGGUCUGCCUACAGCGGCCUCAAUAGCAAGGCUAUGCUCACUGAGUCUGUACAUAGUAAAAUAUUUCCUUAAUUUUGGGUCAGUCACUGUGUACUCUCUGUUUAGGGUCAAAUAGCAUUCUGGUUUGCUCAGUUUAUUUGCAAAUUCUUUCCAAUGUGUCAAGAAAUUAUCUUUUUAUUUUCUCAUGAUUUGGUUGGGUGUAAUUGUGUUGCUGUCCUGGGGCUCUGUGGGGUCUGUUUGUGUUAGUGAACUGUGUGUGUGUGUGUGUGUGUGUGGUGUGUGUGUGUGUGUGUGUGUAAGCGGUUUCCUUGCAGGCAGUUCACACUCCUGCAGUGAUAAUCAAUCUUAAUCAAGGUGCUUGUGAAAUAUUUGCCUUUGCCCAGUCUGGGAGUGGCUCUGGACUGGAGAGGAGAAUGCUUUCUGAAUCUCCACUAUGAUGACUGAAGUCUCAGACACACAGUGGCCCUGUCCACAACCUCUGAAUGAUGAGAGUGUCGUUGCAGCCAUAGACCUCUGCGCUGGAAACACCCAGCAGACAAGAAAAAUGACGGCCGGCAGAAUCUCAUUUUCUGAGGGGCUGCAAGUCAGGCAGGAAAUGGCUAUUAUUCCAUCGACACUGUCGGUAUUAAGUUAUUUCCUUCUCUAAAUGUCCAUGAAUAUCUAUUGAGUUCCAGGUGCGAGCGCUGGAGCUUUUGUUGCCACACACUCGGAUGAUUGCAGCCCUAUAUUCCGUCUGGUGCACCCUCACUUCUAAGAUUGAAGUGAAAGACAAUGGUAUUGGAAAUUGGCUAAUAAAUCCAGCGGAGGGAAAGGCCUGCUUGAGAGCUACCGCCAGCUCAUUCCAUUUUUAAAAAGGGAUAAAACCCCUCACACUUUUUUCUAACUCGUAUUUCUUGUGAAAAGGGGACUGACGACAUGGUUCGCUCAAACAGCUCCAGCAGGCCCAGGCAAGGCCCUGUCAUCUGAACACUAACAGUGGUGUUAACAUCGAUAGGAGAUUAAUGCUGCAAUGUGGCCACAGGAAUGAUGCACCAUGUCUUCACAAUGCAUCAAUAAUUCAGGCAAAUAAGAUCAUAAAUAGAUGUCACUGAGAAAAGACUGAAACAAAGAGAUGGAAGGGGAGAGAGCUCUGCAUGUAAUUGUUAUGCUUGUUGCUUUAAUGCUUGUUUAUUAUGAAUCUGAGCUAGCUCACACACUGGAAUAGGCCAGGGCUGGGAGGAGGGUAAAAAGAAGGGCAGGAUGGCGGAGGGAAGGCAAGGCAAGGGGACCGAACAGCGUGAGAUGAUGAUCACAGCAUCCAAUCUAGGAUAUGAGUGGGCAGUUACCUCCCAGUGCACAGAAACACAGUGGCCAGCCAGCAGGAAAAACAGGGCUGGAGCCCUGCUAACAUGUGUCCAGUCUGAGGCAGUCCACUGUAGUGGGGAAUGGGGCGAGAAUUGAUUGAAGGUGUUGGACCAUAAAUGAAGGUAUUGAUUUUGGGGUCAGAGACGGGGGAUGAGGUCUUGAAAUAAAUAUAUCAAUAUAUCAAAUAUAUUCCACACACACCGCAUAUACCCAGACUCUAACACAUAUAUUAUAAAUCUUAUUAAGCCUAAUAUAUAUAGUUGAAGGACAAAUGUGUAAUGGCUUUAUAAACAAUAACUUUUGAGUGAAAAAAUGCACACAGGAAGAAAAUGGUUCCCAAUCAACAUUGUAUCUUACAUUUAUAUCAGACAAGUGCAUCAUUAGCUAUUUAGGGUAAAUUAAUCAUUUGUGAUAAUCAGGAGUUAAUUCAUGUUUGCGUUUGCUUAAAGAAGACAUUUACCUAUUAUGCCUGUCUCAAAUCGAGUAAACAUAGUAAAUUACUCUUGAUUAUAAGUAUGAAAAGUAACAAACUCUUGAGGUAUGAAAGUAACAGAUUAAGUUUCACAUUAAAAGGCCUAUUUUCAGACAGAUUCAUCUAGUCAGUGUGCAUGAUAAAAUAAUGUUAAUGCACUUUAAAGUGAGCACUCAGGAAAGGUUAAAGUGCCAGCGAUUGAUGGGUCAGAGGAAGAUACUUACUAGGAAGAGGCAAGUACUGGCUGUCACCAACCAGCGCCAGGACCAUGGACAGUUCUUCCACUCGUGGGAUAUCAACAGAAACGUCACUAUUUUAACAUCACCAACUAGCUUGGUUUUCUCGAACUCGUCAACCAAAAUAGUUGUUGCCUAUGUAGGCCUAUUGGAUAUUUUUUAAAUAAUUAUUUAUUGAAGUUCUUGUCUCUCAUCAUUGAAUCUCUGCUUGCUAGUCAAAUUAAUAGAAUGAUUAGAAUGAGCGACUGGGUCAAAACAUGAGGACUGCCGACCAGCCACCUUGGAUAUCAACUUAAAAAUGCAAAAACUAAUUUACUUGUUAAAAUAAUGUUUUUAAUAAAAACAAUGUCAUUCAUAUUUUUAUAAAUAUGUUGGUAACAGUUUUAGAAAAACAAAAAAGCCCCUCAAACCCGGAGAUUAUCGUGUAAUAACUCCCUCCUAAGGGCUGUUCCUGACACUUGGCUUUUGUCACGCCUUGGUCUUAGUAUUUUGUGUUUUCUUUAUUAUUUGUUCAGGCCAGGGUGUGACAUGGGGUUAUUGUAUUUUCGUAUUGGGGUUUGUAGUAUUUGGGAUCGCGGCUGAUUAGGGGUGUUGUAUAGGCUUGGCUGCCUGAGGCGGUUCUCAAUCAGAGUCAGGUGAUUCUCGUUGUCUCUGAUUGGGAACCGUAUUUAGGUAGCCUGAGUUUCACUGUGUAUUUUGGGUGAUUGUUCCUGUCUCUGUGUAGUGUUCACCAGAUAGGCUGUAGUAGGUUUCACGUUCCGUUUUGUUGUUUUGCAUUUGUAUAGUUAUUUCAUGUAUCGCUCUUCCUUCAUUAAAGACAUGAGUAACCACCACGCUGCAUUUCGGUCCGACUCUCUUUUGACAAACGAAGAACGCCGUUACAGCUUUGAUAAUUCCCAGGUUCUCAUGCCUUAUUGCUUAAAUAAUCACUGCAUAAUAAUCUAUUUAAAAACAAAUCUUGAAUUUUCCUUAACCCAAGGGACUUGUAAAAAGUGGGAUGACGCUGUUGUUCAUCUGAAGUGCUUUUAAUGAUUGAAAUAUUUGAAAAUUACUCUUUGGUUAAUUCAACCUAUUCUAUUCAAUUUGUCUGAAAUCAAAUAACAAAUUCGACAGAUCAAUGAUAUUUUUGGAAUUUAAUGAAAGCUUCUAAAUUGCAUACAACACCUCAUGUGUAUACAUUGAAUAGCAGAGGGGGCCAUGUAGCGGCAGCAGCCUAUCAGAAGAGUUGGAGGUGUGGCUUAUUGGGGGCAUGGCUUUCAGUUUGUUCUUCUUAUCCACCCCUGUGAGUGAAUGUAACUCCAGUUAUGUGGUCUAUUGUAGGGCUGUUACAGUGACUAUAUGACCGCCACACUGGCAGUAAUGAGUCAUGACUGCAGUCACAGUAAAUAGGCUUCUCCAAAACUGAGCUUUUGAUGCCGCUGAUGGUCAUUAGUGUCCUACCAAACUUGUAAACGGCCAGUUGCUAAUGGCCUGGCACGCAGCACUCUAUUGUCCCUCUAAUCGCUCUGAUCUUGAUGCAAAUGCAAUGGAAAAUCAAAUCAAACACUUCAUGACAGCCCUGGCAUUCAGAGUUUGAGCAGAAUCAGAUCAGAUGUUGCUCAGUGAGAGCCAGCUCCUCAUAGCUGGUUGAUGCAUGGAAUUAAAUAAGUGUUCCUAUAAGCCCAUGUAACGCAAUAGUUCUAGGCUAUGCUAUGCAACUGAGUGAGAAAACAGAGUUUUGAUGGCCUCUAUUAAAAAGAGAAGGGUCCCAUAAGCUUUCUAUAGGUUUAUAUAUAUUUAUGCGCAGUGGUCUAACGCAUCACUACAGACCCAGAUUCGACCCUGGGCUGUAUCCCAACCGGCCUUGAUUGGGAGUCCUUUAGGGCGACGCAUAAUUGGUCCAGCGUUGUCCGGGUUAGGAGAGGGUUUAGCCGGGAUAGGCCGGCAUUGUAAAAUAAUAACUUGUUCUUAACUGACUUGCCUAGUAAAAUGAAAAAAAAUAUUAAGCACAUUACUUCACUUUACAAUCAGAGUAGCCUACCUGACUGGCAUGAAAAUGAACAGUGGGAAAAGCACACGGAUGACAUUACUUUUUUCCCCCUGCAUAAUAAUGGCUCAUUCUAAAAGGAAUUUCACACAUAUAUUAUUUAGUGCAGUAUAUGUAAAGACAAGAUUACAUUGAGAAUAGAGUGAUGGAUGAGAAUAUCAUCACUUUUGAUUGAUGCCCAGCUUGUGCAGUCUAAGGUGUUGUUUUGUCACUUUUUCCAAUCAUAGUUGCAUGCAUCUUGUAGCCUAGCCCAUAGGCCUAUAUGUUUUGAUAAGGUUUGUAUCACAACUAAAGUGGCCACAACUAAAGUGUCCUUGAGAACUAUAAUACAAUCAUUGUGUUGUGUGAUUUUAAUAUUCGUUUUGACAAAGAGUCUGACUCCAAGGCCAUUGAAUUUAUGAAUAUUUUGAGCUCUAUGGAUUUUAUCCAACAUGCUACUGGGCCCACCCAUAACCACGGCCAUUCUCUGGACCCGGUUAUUACCAAGAGGCUUUCAAUUGACAUAUCUUCUAUUGUUGAUGUUGCUUUAUCUGAUCAUCACUGUUUAUUUUUGACUACCUUGUUGCCCAUAGCACAGGGUAAUACUGAAAGCAUUAUUAAUAAAUGUAAUCUUACCACUGAA